RNAcentral lists this ribosomal RNA (253 nucleotides) under uncultured bacterium. RNAcentral describes it as "partial 16S ribosomal RNA". It matches the Rfam family "Bacterial small subunit ribosomal RNA", at positions 524 to 776 of the family's 1533-position model. The record is from RNAcentral.
UACGAAGGGGGCUAGCGUUGUUCGGAAUUACUGGGCGUAAAGCGUAGGUAGGUGGUUUUCUAAGUCAGGGGUGAAAUGCCGAAGCUUAACUUCGGAACUGCCCUUGAAACUGGAAGACUAGAGAGAGUUAGAGGCAAGUGGAAUUCCUAGUGUAGGAGUGAAAUCCGUAGAUAUUAGGAGGAACAUCAAUGGCGAAGGCAGCUUGCUGGGACUCUUCUGACACUGAGCUACGAAAGCGUGGGUAGCAAACAGG